CUUGCAUAUUAAAUAUAAGAGGCCAUGCCUGCCCAGUGACACCAGUUUAACGGCCGCGGUAUUAUGACCGUGCAAAGGUAGCGUAAUCACCUGUCUUUUAAUUAAAGACCUGUAUGAAUGGCAAAACGAGAGUCCAACUGUCUCUUUAAAUUAAUCAGUGAAACUAAUCUUUCCGUGCAGAAGCGGAAAUAAUAUCAUAAGACGAGAAGACCCUAUGGAGCUUUAAAUUUUACUUAACUAUAAUCUUAUUUUCUUCUACGGAAAAACCUUUUACUAUUAUAGAUUAAUAAAAAUUUUAGGUUGGGGCGACCGCGGAACAAAGAAAAACUUCCGAGAAGAAAUUUUUAGAAGAACACUUCAUAAAAUAGAAAAAUCUAACAUAUUGACCCAAUAAUUGAUCAACGAACCAAGUUACCCUAGGGAUAACAGCGCAAUCUUCUCCAAGAGUUCUUAUCGACGAGUAGGUUUACGACCUCGAUGUUGGAUCAGGACACCCAAAUGGUGCAGCAGCUAUUAAAGGUUCGUUUGUUCAACGAUUAAAGUCCU
RNAcentral lists this ribosomal RNA (546 nucleotides) under Ambystoma texanum (smallmouth salamander). Its description in RNAcentral is "partial 16S ribosomal RNA". It matches the Rfam family "Bacterial large subunit ribosomal RNA", at positions 1822 to 2597 of the family's 2925-position model. The record is from RNAcentral. Lineage: Eukaryota; Metazoa; Chordata; Amphibia; Caudata; Ambystomatidae.